This 24-nucleotide non-coding RNA is filed under the name Cricetulus griseus (Chinese hamster). The record is from RNAcentral. Lineage: Eukaryota; Metazoa; Chordata; Mammalia; Rodentia; Cricetidae.
UGUUCGACAAGUAAAGAUGCUGCC